CUCCUUUUGAUUCUAGAAUUUAAGCCUCAGGACAAUGUCUACGAUGAUGUGGCAGUGGAGAGGAAAGAUUACAAAGAAAAAGAGGAGAAAGGGAGACACUGGAAACCAAAAUGUCUGAUGAUGAAAGGAAAUAAAGGCAAAAUUCCUGAGGAACCAGAAAGACUCCUCUUCAGAAACAAGAAACCCAACCUGGAAAAGCACAAG
This is a long non-coding RNA of Trichosurus vulpecula (common brushtail), 204 nucleotides long. RefSeq lists it as uncharacterized. The transcript has 3 exons. NCBI's taxonomy places the organism in Eukaryota, Metazoa, Chordata, Mammalia, Diprotodontia, Phalangeridae. The record is from RefSeq and is a predicted model, not a curated record.